GACGAACGCUGGCGGCGUGCUUAAUACAUGCAAGUCGAACGGAAAGGCCCUGCUUUUGUGGGGUGCUCGAGUGGCGAACGGGUGAGUAUCACGCGUGUAACCUGCCCUUGACUUUGUGAUAACUUCAGGAAACUGGGGCUAUUACCGGAUAGGAGCUCCUGCAGCAUGGUGGGGGAUGGAAAGUUUCGGCGGUUGGGGAUGGACUCGCUGCUUAUCAGCUUGUUGGGGGGGUAGUGGCUUCCCAAGGGUUUGACGGGUAGGCGGCAUGGGAGGUUGACCGGCGACAAUGGUCCUGAGAGACGGAGCAGACGGCAACGUGCGGCAACAGUGGGAAGCCUGGCGCAACGGGCGGAAGUGUGAUAUGACGGCGCCGCGUGCGUGAUGCCGGCUUUCGGGGUGAAAACCGAUUUGGAAGGAAACGAGGAGGUCGUGACGGUAAUGGGUAAAGAAGCACCGGCUAACUACGUG
This 468-nucleotide ribosomal RNA is filed under the name uncultured bacterium. Its description in RNAcentral is "partial 16S ribosomal RNA". It matches the Rfam family "Bacterial small subunit ribosomal RNA", at positions 28 to 507 of the family's 1533-position model. The record is from RNAcentral.